UCUUAUAAAAUAUGAGACUGGACCAGGUCAAUAUCGAGCGGAAUGUAAAUCACAGGCUUUAUCAAUCCCAAUGACAAGGACUGUGAUUCGGGCGACAAUGUUGCCUUACUCGCUGUCAUUAGUGUAAGGUCUAAGGGGUGAGACACAGCUGUCCUCCCAGUGGCUUUCUAGAAUUUACAGUCUAAUGAAACGAGGUUGACGCCAGUCACUCUUUGCUUUCUGCCCUAAGGAUUAGCUAUCAUUUUGGUACCUAAUCAUAGGGAUCAGUUUGCUCGCCUGGAGUGAUUCGUGUAGAGCGUAAGGCAAUAGGUUGAGAAGGAGAUGAGGUCCUGAAAAGGGCUUCAAGAUUUUCAUGAUGACAGGGUAGCACAAAGGAUCCCAUGAUCUGUGUGCAUUGAUCAGAAAUGAUCACCCUAACUGAUUAAAUCUAAUACCACUAAAAGUGCACCACUUU
Molecule: long non-coding RNA, 454 nt
Organism: Bradysia coprophila
Lineage: Eukaryota; Metazoa; Arthropoda; Insecta; Diptera; Sciaridae
Source: RefSeq, a predicted model, not a curated record